CCUACGGGAGGCAGCAGUGGGGAAUAUUGCACAAUGGGCGAAAGCCUGAUGCAGCAACGCCGCGUGAGGGACGAAGGCCUUCGGGUUGUAAACCUCUUUUAGUAGGGAAGAAGCGAAAGUGACGGUACCUGCAGAAAAAGCACCGGCUAACUACGUGCCAGCAGCCGCGGUAAUACGUAGGGUGCAAGCGUUGUCCGGAAUUAUUGGGCGUAAAGAGCUCGUAGGCGGUUUGUCGCGUCUGCUGUGAAAACUGAGGCUCAACCUCCAGCCUGCAGUGGGUACGGGCAGACUAGAGUGCGGUAGGGGAGGAUUGGAAUUCCUGGUGUAGCGGUGGAAUGCGCAGAUAUCAGGAGGAACACCGAUGGCGAAGGCAGAUCUCUGGGCCGGUAACUGACGCUGAGGAGCGAAAGCAUGGGGAGCGAACAGGAUUAGAUACCCUGGUAGUCCAUGCCGUAAACGUUGGGAACUAGAUGUAGGGGCCAUUCCACGGUUUCUGUGUCGCNGACGUACGACAUACGUUACCGUCCGUCGGNGGUACGGCGCGACGACGAACGUAACUAAUAGUUAGUUAGUAGCGUUGAGAGNGCGACGACGACGACGAGGAGGAGG
Molecule: ribosomal RNA, 609 nt
Filed under: uncultured bacterium
Lineage: Bacteria
Description: bacterial SSU rRNA
Rfam family: Bacterial small subunit ribosomal RNA (bases 1-526)
Source: RNAcentral